This 23-nucleotide non-coding RNA is filed under the name Arabidopsis thaliana (thale cress). Lineage: Eukaryota; Viridiplantae; Streptophyta; Magnoliopsida; Brassicales; Brassicaceae. The record is from RNAcentral.
ACACAUUUGUUUGGGAAGUUUGC